CCUACGGGUGGCAGCAGUGAGGAAUAUUGGUCAAUGGACGAGAGUCUGAACCAGCCAAGUAGCGUGAAGGAUGACUGCCCUAUGGGUUGUAAACUUCUUUUAUAUGGGAAUAAAACGUUCCACGUGUGGGAUUUUGUAUGUACCAUAUGAAUAAGGAUCGGCUAACUCCGUGCCAGCAGCCGCGGUAAUACGGAGGAUCCGAGCGUUAUCCGGAUUUAUUGGGUUUAAAGGGAGCGUAGGUGGAUUGUUAAGUCAGUUGUGAAAGUUUGCGGCUCAACCGUAAAAUUGCAGUUGAAACUGGCAGUCUUGAGUACAGUAGAGGUGGGCGGAAUUCGUGGUGUAGCGGUGAAAUGCUUAGAUAUCACGAAGAACGCCGAUUGCGAAGGCAGUUCACUGGACUGCAACUGACACUGAGGCUCGAAAGUGUGGGUAUCAAACAGGAUUAGAUACCCUUGUAGUC
Molecule: ribosomal RNA, 460 nt
Filed under: uncultured bacterium
Lineage: Bacteria
Description: partial 16S ribosomal RNA
Rfam family: Bacterial small subunit ribosomal RNA
Source: RNAcentral